This 460-nucleotide ribosomal RNA is filed under the name uncultured bacterium. RNAcentral's name for it is "partial 16S ribosomal RNA". It matches the Rfam family "Bacterial small subunit ribosomal RNA", at positions 338 to 795 of the family's 1533-position model. The record is from RNAcentral.
CCUACGGGUGACAGCAGUGAGGAAUAUUGGUCAAUGGACGAGAAUCUGAACCAGCCAAGUAGCGUGAAGGAUGACUGCCCUAUGGGUUGUAAACUUCUUUUAUCUGGGAGUAAAAUGUUCCACGUGUGGGAUUUUGUAUGUACCAUAUGAAUAAGGAUCGGCUAACUCCGUGCCAGCAGCCGCGGUAAUACGGAGGAUCCGAGCGUUAUCCCGAUUUAUUGGGUUUAAAGGGAGCGUCGGUGGAUUUUUAAGUCAGUUGUGAAAGUUUGAGGCUCAACCGUAAAAUUGCCGUUGAAACUGGCAGUCUUGAGUACAGUAGAGGUGGGCGGAAUUCGUGGUGUAGCGGUGAAAUGCUUAGAUAUCACGAAGAACUCCGAUUGCGAAGGCAGUUCACUGGACUGCAACUGACACUGAGGCUCGAAAGUGUGGGUAUCAAACAGGAUUAGAUACCCGUGUAGUC